This 497-nucleotide ribosomal RNA is filed under the name uncultured bacterium. Its description in RNAcentral is "partial 16S ribosomal RNA". It matches the Rfam family "Bacterial small subunit ribosomal RNA", at positions 28 to 507 of the family's 1533-position model. The record is from RNAcentral.
GAUGAACGCUGGCGGCGUGCCUAAUACAUGCAAGUCGAGCGAACAGACGAGGAGCUUGCUCCUUUGACGUUAGCGGCGGACGGGUGAGUAACACGUGGAUAACCUACCUAUAAGACUGGGAUAACUUCGGGAAACCGGAGCUAAUACCGGAUAACAUGUUGAACCGCAUGGUUCAACAGUGAAAGACGGUCUUGCUGUCACUUAUAGAUGGAUCCGCGCCGCAUUAGCUAGUUGGUAAGGUAACGGCUCACCAAGGCAACGAUGCGUAGCCGACCUGAGAGGGUGAUCGGCCACACUGGAACUGAGACACGGUCCAGACUCCUACGGGAGGCCGCAGUAGGGAAUCUUCCGCAAUGGGCGAAAGCCUGACGGAGCCCCGCCGCGUGAGUGAAGAAGGUCUUCGGAUCGUAAAACUCUGUUAUUAGGGAAGAACAAAUGUGUAAGUAACUCUGCACGUCUUGACGGUACCUAAUCAGAAAGCCACGGCUAACUACGUG